This 461-nucleotide long non-coding RNA is filed under the name Cricetulus griseus (Chinese hamster). RNAcentral describes it as "lncRNA (ENSCGRG00000024353.1)". Lineage: Eukaryota; Metazoa; Chordata; Mammalia; Rodentia; Cricetidae. The record is from RNAcentral.
CAUAGCUUUCUCCUGCAUAAAUGAACUCUAUGCAUCUUCCCUUAGGUCGGAAUCUGUAAUCUUUCUGAUGACCUUUAGCAUCAGUUUUCAUUCCAGUUGACGAAGGAUUCUUUUUACCUGAAAGCUGCAAGAUGCCAUUCCUACAUCCAAGAUAAGGGAAAGUGUACUGCAAGGUUUACUUCUGCACACAGCCAGAGGAAUGGCUGCCCAUCUCCAUUGAAGUCAAGGUAAAUUUUUCCUGCAUGGAUUCUUCAUAGACUUUACCCAGGAACAACAGAAAUGCCACCUGCUGCUGUGACAACCAUAGAGACUUUGCUUUUGUUGACUCUAUUCCAUCUUAUUAGAUAAAGAGAUUCCAGCUCCAGGAACUUGGGUAAGUCAUAGUCAUUCCACAAGGAAGUGGUCAGACCAGAUUCAAGUUCACCUCUCUUCACAUACCAGAGUCAAUACCUCCAACACUG